AAACUUUCAACAACGGAUCUCUUGGUUCUC
RNAcentral lists this non-coding RNA (30 nucleotides) under Drosophila melanogaster (fruit fly). Lineage: Eukaryota; Metazoa; Arthropoda; Insecta; Diptera; Drosophilidae. The record is from RNAcentral. RNAcentral also lists the same sequence under 6 other names.